Long non-coding RNA from Vespula pensylvanica (western yellowjacket), 535 nucleotides. RefSeq lists it as uncharacterized. The record is from RefSeq and is a predicted model, not a curated record. The transcript has 3 exons. NCBI's taxonomy places the organism in Eukaryota, Metazoa, Arthropoda, Insecta, Hymenoptera, Vespidae.
GUUGUUUGAUGAAAAAGUAAAAAAAAAAAAAAAAAAAAAAAUGAAAUAAGUAGGGUAUCGUAAAGUAUAAGGACGUACCUGAUCGAAAUAGUGGGGAGUAACGAGUACACGCGAUUCGACCAAUAACGUGUUAGCGUAAGGAGUGGGAGAGAGAGUAAGUGAGAUGGUACAGUGGUAAAGUGGGAGUGUAACGAAGGAAGUUGGCGUUGUCGCCUGGCAGCGCCGCAACGCAUUCGAGGCGAACUAGACGUGUGACACGACGCGCGUCGCGUUCGAGAGAAUAUCCGCAAGAGGCUUUUCUAACCUCGGUACUGGCGCUUAAGCGCGCUCCCGUCGUCGUUUCGUGUGACGUGUUGUGAAACAAGUUGUUGAGAGAGUGAGAGAGAAAGAGAGAGAGAGAGAGAGAGAGUGAGAAAGAGACAGGAUUAUCUUUGUUUUCUUCUUCUUCUUCGUAUUCGUCAUAUUGGAAAUUACUGUGAGAAGAUAGACCAGCUAAAGGAUCAUCGAUUUUACGACUGGUAAUUCGUCUAAUACA